Molecule: long non-coding RNA, 475 nt
Organism: Dama dama (fallow deer)
Lineage: Eukaryota; Metazoa; Chordata; Mammalia; Artiodactyla; Cervidae
Exons: 2
Source: RefSeq, a predicted model, not a curated record
CGCACGCGCCGCUUGCGCGCUAACCUUGCAGUGGAGCGGAGAGAACGUCCCUUAACAGGGUCUGCUGCAUUAGUAUCUGCUUUCCUGGUGAAAUAGCGAACAGGCAGGCCACCUCUUAGUGCAAGGCCAGGCUCACUGCUGCUCACAUCUGCCUGUUGGAGAACUUCUGUGGUCACUGCAGCUCACCUGAUGGAAGGCUUUUGUCACCGAAGUAGGGAGGGCAUCUGGUUUGGCACCUCCAGGAAGCCACCCUGAUUGCAGGAUUUCCAGGCUUCUCCUACGUGUAAAUCAUCAAUAAACACGACAUGACAAUUAAGAAGGAAAAAACACUCUUGAGUGAGAGAUAGCAGAAACAAAUGGCAAAACCAAAUCUCCAAAGCCCUCAGAUACUGGAAAUGUCUGCUUUCGUUUGAAUAAGAAAUGUAUUCUUCCACUCAUUUUGUAGACCUAGAAAGUAAAAUUGAUCUCUUCAGUA